This 1299-nucleotide long non-coding RNA is filed under the name Apteryx rowi (Okarito brown kiwi). RNAcentral's name for it is "lncRNA (ENSARWG00000012089.1)". The record is from RNAcentral. Lineage: Eukaryota; Metazoa; Chordata; Aves; Apterygiformes; Apterygidae.
CGUGCUGCAUGCCGCGUGCUGCGCCGCGUGCCGUGUACCGCAUCGUGUGCUGCGCCGCGUGCCGUGCCGUGUGUCGCACCGCGUGCCGUGUACCGCAUCGUGUGCUGCGCCGCGUGCCGUGCCGUGCCGCGUGUCGCACCGCGUGCCGUGUACCGCAUUGUGUGCUGCGCCACGUGCCGUGCCGCAUGUUGCACCACGUGCCGUGUACCGCAUCGUGUGCUGCGCCGCGUGCCGUGCCGCGUGUCGCACCACGUGCCGUGUACCGCAUCGUGUGCUGCGCCGUGUGCCGUGCCGCGUGUUGCACCGCGUGCCGUGUACCGCAUCGCGUGCUGCGCCGCGUGUCGCACCGCGUGCUGUAUACCACAUCGCGUGCUGUGCCCCGUGCCGUGCCGCGUGUCGCACCGCGUGCCGUGUACCGCAUCGCGUGCUGUGCCCCGUGCCGUGCUGUGUGUUGCACCGCGUGCCGUGUACCGCAUCGCGUGCUGCGCCGCGUGCCGUGCCGUGCCGUGUGUCGCACCGCGUGCCGUGUACCGCAUCGCGUGCUGCACCGCGUGCCGUGCCAUGCCAUGUGCCAUGCAGCAUGCUGUGCACCGCGUACCGUGCCAGGUGCUGCGUGUGCUGUGUGCUGCAUAGCACGUGCCGCACCGUGUGCCAUGGGUCAUGCACCGCGCCGCGUCAUGCACCGCGUGCUGUGUGCCGCGCCACAUGCCACGUGCUAUGUGCCACGAGUCGCACCAUGCUGUGCCACACGCCGUGCCACGUGCCGCAGUGUGCUGUGCCAUGUAGCGUGCCGUGUGCUGUGUGCCGUGCCACAUGCCGUGCGCCACACUGCUGCGUGCUGCGCUGUGUGCCGUGUCAUGUGCUACGUGCCACGUACCGUGUGCCGUGCUGCGUGCUGCAUCRCGUGCCGCACCGCACUGUGCCACAUGCUGUGCCACAUGCCACGCUGUGCUGUGCCAUGUGGCGUGCUGUGCCGUGUGCCACCCCGCACCAUGUGCCACACGCCAGGUGCCACGUGCCACACCGUAUACCGUGCCGCAUGCCACGUGCUGUGCCGCCUGCUGCGCCGUGCACCGCAUGCCGUGCUGCGUGCUGCCCCACGUGCCGUGCCACGCACCGUGUGCCGCGCCAUGUGCCACAUCGCGUGCUGACCCGUGUCCCCGCAGGCCGGGCACCCCGGGCUACGGCGCCUUCCACGUGGAGCCGGCGCCCUACAAGCCGCGGCGCCCCGACGGCGGCUACGGCGACUCGUACGCGCGGCGGCCCUUCGGGGCGGCCGGCGGGCUCUACCGCGGCGCN